RNAcentral lists this transfer RNA (82 nucleotides) under Pangasianodon hypophthalmus (striped catfish). It matches the Rfam family "tRNA". Rfam says of the family: Transfer RNA (tRNA) molecules are approximately 80 nucleotides in length. The record is from Rfam by way of RNAcentral. Lineage: Eukaryota; Metazoa; Chordata; Actinopteri; Siluriformes; Pangasiidae.
UAUAAGGUGGCUGAGUGGUUAAGGCAAUGGACUGCUACGCCAUUGUGCUCUGCCUGUAUGGGUUUGAAUCCCAUCCUCAUUG